GAUUCUGGCUCAGGAUGAACGCUGGCGGCGUGCUUAACACAUGCAAGUCGAACGAAGCAAUUAAGCGGAAGUUUCGGAUGGAAGCUUAAUUGACUUAGUGGCGGACGGGUGAGUAACCCGUGGGUAACCUGCCUUAUACUGGGGGAUAACAGUUGGAAACGACUGCUAAUACCGCAUAAUAAAGAAUAUCGCAUGAUUUUCUUUUGAAAUAUUUAUAGGUAUAAGAUGGACCCGCGUCUGAUUAGCUAGUUGGUGAGGUAACUGCUCACCAAGGCGACGAUCAGUAGCCGGCUUGAGAGAGUGACCGGCCACAUUGGGACUGAGACACGGCCCAAACUCCUACGGGAGGCAGCAGUGGGGAAUAUUGCACAAUGGGGGAAACCCUGAUGCAGCGACGCCGCGUGAGUGAAGAAGUAUUUCGGUAUGUAAAGCUCUAUCAGCAGGGAAGAUAAUGACGGUACCUGACUAAGAAGCCCCGGCUAACUACGUGCCAGCAGCGGC
Molecule: ribosomal RNA, 501 nt
Filed under: uncultured bacterium
Lineage: Bacteria
Description: bacterial SSU rRNA
Rfam family: Bacterial small subunit ribosomal RNA
Source: RNAcentral